Molecule: ribosomal RNA, 472 nt
Filed under: Synechococcus sp. MBTD-CMFRI-S107
Lineage: Bacteria; Bacillati; Cyanobacteriota; Cyanophyceae; Synechococcales; Synechococcaceae
Description: bacterial SSU rRNA
Rfam family: Bacterial small subunit ribosomal RNA
Source: RNAcentral
AUAUGCCGAGAGGUGAAAUAUUUUAUAGCCUGAGGAUGAGCUCGCGUCUGAUUAGCUAGUUGGAGGUGUAAGAGACCCCCAAGGCGACGAUCACUAGCUGUUCUGAGAGGAAGAUCAGCCACACUGGGACUGAGACACGGCCCAGACUCCUACGGGAGGCAGCAGUGGGGAAUUUUCCGCAAUGGGCGAAAGCCUGACGGAGCAACGCCGCGUGAGGGAGGAAGGUCUUUGGAUUGUAAACCUCUUUUCUGAAGGAAGAAGAACUGACGGUACUUCAGGAAUAAGCAUCGGCUAACUCCGUGCCAGCAGCCGCGGUAAUACGGAGGAUGCAAGCGUUAUCCGGAAUCAUUGGGCGUAAAGCGUCCGUAGGUGGCAUUACAAGUCUGCUUUCAAAGCGUGCAGCUCAACUGCAUAAAGGGAGUGGAAACUGUGGAGCUAGAGUUCGGUAGGGGCAGAGGGAAUUCCCGGUGUA